Molecule: ribosomal RNA, 494 nt
Filed under: uncultured bacterium
Lineage: Bacteria
Description: partial 16S ribosomal RNA
Rfam family: Bacterial small subunit ribosomal RNA
Source: RNAcentral
GACGAACGCUGGCGGCGUGCUUAACACAUGCAAGUCGAACGGUGAAGCGCCUUCCUUUUUGGUUGGUGUGGAUGAGUGGCGAACGGGUGAGUAACACGUGAGUAACCUGCCCCCUUCUUCUGGAUAACCGCAUGAAAGUGUGGCUAAUACGGGAUAUUCUGGGUCUGUCGCAUGAUGGGUCUGGGAAAGAUAUUGUUUCGGUGGGGGAUGGGCUCGCGGCCUAUCAGCGUGUUGGUGGGGUGAUGGCCUACCAAGGCGGUGACGGGUAGCCGGCCUGAGAGGGUGGCCGGUCACACUGGGACUGAGACACGGCCCGGACUCCUACGGGAGGCAGCAGUGGGGAAUAUUGCACAAUGGGCGCAAGCCUGAUGCAGCGACGCCGCGUGAGGGAUGGAGGCCUUCGGGUUGUGAACCUCUUUCGCCAGUGAAGCAGGCCUGCCUCGUUUGUGGGUGGGUUGACGGUAGCUGGAUAAGAAGCGCCGGCUAACUACGUG